RNAcentral lists this ribosomal RNA (253 nucleotides) under uncultured bacterium. RNAcentral describes it as "partial 16S ribosomal RNA". It matches the Rfam family "Bacterial small subunit ribosomal RNA", at positions 524 to 776 of the family's 1533-position model. The record is from RNAcentral.
UACAUGGGGUGCAAACGUUGCUCGGAAUUAUUGGGCGUAAAGCGCGCGUAGGCGGUUACUUAAGUCGGAUGUGAAAGCCCUCGGCUUAACUGAGGAAGUGCACCCGAAACUGAGUAGCUAGAGUACGAAAGAGGGUCGCGGAAUUCCCGGUGUAGAGGUGAAAUUCGUAGAUAUCAGGAGGAACACCGGUGGCGAAGGCGGCCACCUGGACGAUUACUGACGCUGAGACGCGAAAGCGUGGGGAGCAAACAGG